Molecule: transfer RNA, 164 nt
Filed under: Marmota monax (woodchuck)
Lineage: Eukaryota; Metazoa; Chordata; Mammalia; Rodentia; Sciuridae
Description: tRNA.Ala
Source: RNAcentral
GGUUGUGGCUCAGUGGUAGAGCGCUUGCCUUGCAUGUGUGAGGCACUGGGUUUGCUCUCUAGCAUCACAUAAAAAAAAAACUAAAUAAACAGGACUGGGGUCUUGGCUCAGCAGUAGGGCUUCGCCUAGCAUGUGUGAAGUCCUGGGUUUGAUCCUCAGCACCA